AUGGUUGAUCCUGCCAGUAUUAUAUGCUUGUCUCAAAGAUUAAGCCAUGCAUGUCUAAGUAUAAGCAACUCUUAUACUGUGAAACUGCGAAUGGCUCAUUAAAUCAGUUAUGGUUUAUUUGAUGGUCCCUUUACUACAUGGAUAACCGUAGUAAUUCUAGAGCUAAUACAUGCGCACAAUUCCGGCUUUUCGGAGUCGGGAUGUAUUUAUUAGAUAAAAACCAAUUCGGGAUUUUUCUCGAUCUUUUUGGUGAGUCAUAAUAACUGUUCGGAUCGCAUCAGCUUCUUGCUGGCGAUAGAUCAUUCAAAUUUCUGCCCUAUCAGGUUGAUUGUAGUGUAGUGGACUACAAUGCCUUUGACGGGUAACGGAGAAUUAGGGUUCGAUUCCGGAGAGGGCGCUUGAGAAACGGCGACCAGGUCUAAGGAUUGCAGCAGGCGCGCAAAUUACCCAAUCCUGACACAGGGAGGUAGUGACAAGAAAUAACAGUGAUCAUCGACAAACGUCGAGAUUAAUUGGAAUGAGAACAAUUCAAACCCCUUAUCGAGUAGCAAUUGGAGGGCAAGUCUGGUGCCAGCAGCCGCGGUAAUACCAGCUCCAAUAGCGUAUAUUAACAUUGUUGCAGUUAAAAAGCUCGUAGCAGAAUUUCUGGUUCGGAGAGCCUGACCUGCGCCUAACUAGGUGUGGUGUUGGUGCAUUCCGGCCAUCCUUCGUGGAGAACGUCUCAGCUCUUUUACUGAGUUUGAGAUGGGAUCCCGAUCUUUUACUUUAAAAAAAUUAGAGUGUUCAAAGCAGGCUUACGCUGUGAAUACAUUAGCAUGGAAUAAUAAAAUAGGACUCCAGUUCUAUUUUGUUGGUUUCUAGGAUUGAAGUAAUGAUUGAUAGGGAUAGUUGGGGGUGCUCGUAUUCAACGGCCAGAGGUGAAAUUCCGUGAUUCGUUGAAGACGAACUAAUGCGAAAGCAUUCACCAAGGAUGUCUUCUUUUGUCAAGAACGAAAGUUGGGGGAUCGAAGACGAUCAGAUACCGUCGUAGUCUCAACCAUAAACGAUGCCGACUAUGGAUGAGUCAGUGUUGUUUAUGACCUGAUUCGCACAUUAUGAGAAAUCAAAGUUUUUGGGUUCCGGGGGGAGUAUGGUCGCAAGGCUGAAACUUAAAGGAAUUGACGGAAGGGCACCACCAGGCGUGGAACCUGCGGCUUAAUUUGACCCAACACGGGAAAACUUACCAGGUCCAGACAUAG
This 1238-nucleotide ribosomal RNA is filed under the name metagenome. RNAcentral describes it as "SSU rRNA". It matches the Rfam family "Eukaryotic small subunit ribosomal RNA", at positions 4 to 1233 of the family's 1831-position model. The record is from RNAcentral.